Molecule: non-coding RNA, 2563 nt
Organism: Heterocephalus glaber (naked mole-rat)
Lineage: Eukaryota; Metazoa; Chordata; Mammalia; Rodentia; Bathyergidae
Source: RefSeq, a predicted model, not a curated record
UGAGUUUGGUUCCCCAGGCAACUGGCCGGGCAGCUGCGCCGGGAACUAUUUGUGUCAGUCCCGGAGGGGCCGCGGAAGGCGUGGCAGAGGCAGUGCGCGCCCAGCCUGGGGCAGGCGGGGACCGCGACACAGAGGCGCUUUCAGGUCCUACCCGGGCUCGCGAGCCCCGCUCCCCUCGCCGGGGCCGCCCGGCUUUGUGCUGUUUAUACCCUGUCCUGCGGAAACCCGAAGACAGCGCUGUUCCGGGCGGCCCAGGCCCGGCGCCACCCUCGCUGGCACACAGUGGGCACGCGGCCCGGCGCUCCCGGGGACCGAGCCCCGGCUGGACUCUGCGGUGGGGCCCUCGGUCGUGGGCUGCUGGUGACUCCAGGACCUCGGGCCCCAGUGCAGGGACACAGGGAGGGCCCCUCCCUACAGAAAGGAGGGAAGGGCGGUGCAGGACGCAGCCAUGCCCACAAAAGGUGGCCUGCGAGACAGUGACAGAGGCGGGGACAUCAGGCAGGAGCAGGAUAAGGUUCAAGCCUGCAAUGGAAGGAGUACGUUUGCAGGUUCGCUGACUCCCGUCACGGAAACAGUGUUCAGGUUUGUUAGAGAUGGAGAUGCAGGAUGCGCUGAAGAGCAGAGCGCAGACUGAGCAGUGAAGCAGUUUUUAUUUCUUCUGUCCUACAUCAUUACCACCAAAAACUAGAAGAAGAAGGAGGGGCAGGGGGUUAAGAAAGGAGGGGAAAUGAAGUCCUCAUCCAGCCAGUGUCCCUGUGGCAUCCUCUACAAAGUACUACUAAUGACAGAGGUGGGAGCUUCGAGGGCAAAUGAGACAGCAUGGAAGAACCACUUACUCAGGAGAGGCAGUACUGAUACCCUGAGAAACCAGUCAGGAAACUGAGGCAGGAGAAGUUAAGGCAGAGGUUCAACUGGACACCACCCAGGCAGCUUGGCUCCGGAACCUGCUCUGAGCCUGCGCCAUCACAGAACGGGUCCAUCAGUGACCACAGUCGGGGGAGACCAGGAGGAAGGGGACUGAAGCUGGGGUGGCUGUCCUGGGGAGCAGCCCCAUCUGUAACGGUGCCCUCUGGCCCAGGGCCCACUCUGUAGCUGAUAAAAUUGUUUUAUGGGUCGUUUUUAAUUACAGCCCUCAAGCCAGACAUUUAUGACAAUCAAUCAUCACCUUGCUCCAGAAGGCCCAGGCGUGUGUAGUUUCCCGCCUUCUUCCAUCGUGUCUGUUGCUUGUCCUUGUGGGCAGCCAGAGCCCCCACCUCCCCUACAUCCGGGCACAGGGGCCCUUUUCACUGAGAGGGACUAGUUCAGUCCUGCCCCGAUAACCUGAUGGGGGCCUGUGGCCCACUGCCCUGAGGGGUCCCUGCAGUCCCUCUGGUCCCCACGUCUUUGUGUAGCUCCCCUUGAGUGUGGGCAGGGCUGGGACUUGCAUCUUCACCAACAGACCAUGGCAAGCACUCCGAAGGCUGAGGUAGGAGGAUCUUAAGUUCAAACCUAGACUGGACACUUUAACAACUUAGGGAGAACUUGUCUCAUGAUAAAAAAAAUUUUUUUUAAUUAAAAAAGCUGGGGAUGUAGCUCAGUGCAAAGGCCCUGGGUUCAGGAAGGAAGGAAGGGAAGGAAGGAAGGAAGGCAGGCAGGCAGGCCGGCCGGCCCUUGGCUCAACAGUUCUGAAUUGCCCAGCAAGAUCACAAGGUAAGAUGUGGGUCUCCUCCACCAAGCUUCAGAUGACAUCUCAGCCCUGACAACCUUGGUGCCGCCUCUGAGAGGGCCCAGCCACACCAGGCCCAGACUCCUGUGAGAAACGUGAGGUAAUAAAUGUGUGUUUUAAACUGCUACAUUUGUGUCUGGGGAUGUUGUUAAGCAGCAACAGAGAACUAAUUCAGGGCCUCUUAGGUGAAAAGUCCGGCAUACGGCUGUUAGGGAAUACAAAAACAAAAGUAUAAGGACCCUGUAUUUGAGGAGCUUCCUGGCAGUCAGGGGGAGAAAGGAAAUCAGCAUGGCUUUACUAUCUGACAAAAGGAAAUUAAUGUUUCUUAAGAGGGAAACAGCACCUGAUUCUAGGAAUCUGUCGUGUGAACACUACUGGUGUCAAAUCUAUGAACAAAGCAUAGCGUCACUACAGCCUGUGUCGCCUGCAGUUCACAAUCUCUCCUCAUCCUGUGUCCUUCUGGCAUGGCUUCCUGCCAUGUCCUGCCCUCCACUAUCGACCUCCUCCUCCUGGACUGCUCUUUUCCCUCAUCUGUCUGUUGACUCCUGUAUUUCAAGGGCCAGCAGGGACCUGUCACCUCCUGGAUGAAGGCUUCCUUCAUCCUCAAGCAGAAUUAACAGCUUCCUCCCUGGAUGCAGGUCUCUGUUAUCACAGGGAUUUCCCGGUGGGUCUCAGUAAGCACCUACUAAGUGCCAGGCCGCCUGGGAGGAACCACAAAUCAGCUCAAGGCUUCCCUGGGACCUGCUGUGACAGGGCUGGGGUUUGUGGAGUGAAUGAUGGGUCUCGAGCGGUUAGUGACCUCCUGACAGCCUUUGGGAACAUAGGGUUUAAAAUGCACCCUCUUGAUGAGCCAAGUGU